GGCCCCCUGAGAUUCAACGGUUCGGCUGAACUAUGUGGUUGGGCUGGUGAAGGGUUCGGGCGAUCCGUGGGCUUCACUUUAGAACUAAUUUUGCCUUUUCUGUCUUGAUGGCUUGGACAGGAAAGGCCCAGACAUCUGAAAGGAGGGAAAUCCCUAACAUACUCCCCUCAGCCCGAGUAAAGUAUAGUGGGCCACAGGAGUUUCGGAUAGGCGUAGCGUGCCUUGUACACCUUCCUCCUGAUAAGCCAUUUUUAAGUCCCUGCU
Molecule: long non-coding RNA, 264 nt
Organism: Phyllostomus discolor (pale spear-nosed bat)
Lineage: Eukaryota; Metazoa; Chordata; Mammalia; Chiroptera; Phyllostomidae
Exons: 3
Source: RefSeq, a predicted model, not a curated record